This 22-nucleotide non-coding RNA is filed under the name Arabidopsis thaliana (thale cress). Lineage: Eukaryota; Viridiplantae; Streptophyta; Magnoliopsida; Brassicales; Brassicaceae. The record is from RNAcentral.
UCGAUUCAUCAGCCUUAGUGUG